RNAcentral lists this long non-coding RNA (556 nucleotides) under Triticum aestivum (bread wheat). RNAcentral describes it as "long non-coding RNA (TAES_LNC015484)". The record is from RNAcentral. Lineage: Eukaryota; Viridiplantae; Streptophyta; Magnoliopsida; Poales; Poaceae.
AAUUUUCUUUGAAACACCAAAUUUAUCAUAGCCAUGAUAUUGUUUGAAAAUCAUUUGUAAUGCAUUUGCUUCCCUGAUUGCAUGACACAUUUGAAGAACAUUUAAACUUUUUCUUCAUUUAAGCAUUGGGGAAAACAUCAUGUCCAGUUCAUAGAUUUUUGUGAAGUUACAAAUUCCAAAGAUAAGUUGCGGGCCAUAUGUCAUGCAGUGCUAUCUGUGGAUUGCAACAAGAAGGCUGUGAUGAAGGGCAUAACACAUGGGGCGUGCGACUAUUUGGUGAAACCAGUGUGCACCAACGAGCUAAAAAAAUAUAUGGCAACAUGUUGAAAGGAGGAGAAAUGAUGAUGAUGAUGAUGAUGAUGAUGAUGAUGAUGACGAUGGAGUGCAGCCAAGGACUGCUGCCACGAGCAAGGACUCGGAGAAUAAGGGCAAUGAAGGAUAUGAUUCUAGCAAGAACCAAGAGAUCACACACAUAUCCACCACCAGGAAGAAGCCAAGGGUGGUAUGGACAGUUGAGCUUCAGAACAAAUUUCUAGAAGCUAUUGACCAGAUCGGC